AACGCACAUUGCGCUCUCUGGUAUUCCGGAGAGCAUGCCCGUUUCAGAAUCAGCAACAAUCUUCGUACCAACUUGCUUUCGUCUUGCUUGCAAGACGGAGGCGCCUGUUGGGCGGAAUUUGGAUCCACGUGUUUCCCGCUCGUCCGGGAGACAGGUCCUCAUUGCAUGGGAACUGCUGAGGUGCCGUCAUGGAACCUGGCGAAGCAGCAACAGAAAACUCCGGUUUUUUAUGUUCAACUCUUCACCUUGUGUUUGCAUUGCGCACUGUCCGGCCUUCCGAAUCGCCUCCGCGGCAAUUUCAAAAACUUGGUCUGAAAUCGGGCAAGAAAACCCGCUGAACUUAA
Molecule: unclassified non-coding RNA, 344 nt
Filed under: uncultured fungus
Lineage: Eukaryota; Fungi
Description: partial contains 5.8S ribosomal RNA, internal transcribed spacer 2, and large subunit ribosomal RNA
Source: RNAcentral